RNAcentral lists this ribosomal RNA (597 nucleotides) under uncultured bacterium. Its description in RNAcentral is "bacterial SSU rRNA". It matches the Rfam family "Bacterial small subunit ribosomal RNA", at positions 55 to 643 of the family's 1533-position model. The record is from RNAcentral.
AUGCAAGUCGAGCGGUAACAGGGGGAGCUUGCUUCCCGCUGACGAGCGGCGGACGGGUGAGUAAUGCUUAGGAAUCUGCCCAGUAGUGGGGGAUAGCCCGGGGAAACCCGGAUUAAUACCGCAUACGUCCUACGGGAGAAAGCAGGGGAUCUUCGGACCUUGCGCUAUUGGAUGAGCCUAAGUCGGAUUAGCUAGUUGGUGGGGUAAAGGCCUACCAAGGCGACGAUCCGUAGCUGGUCUGAGAGGAUGAUCAGCCACAUCGGGACUGAGACACGGCCCGAACUCCUACGGGAGGCAGCAGUGGGGAAUAUUGGACAAUGGGGGCAACCCUGAUCCAGCCAUGCCGCGUGUGUGAAGAAGGCUUUCGGGUUGUAAAGCACUUUCAGUAGGGAGGAAAACCUUAUGGCUAAUACCCAUGAGGCUUGACGUUACCUACAGAAGAAGCACCGGCUAACUCCGUGCCAGCAGCCGCGGUAAUACGGAGGGUGCAAGCGUUAAUCGGAAUUACUGGGCGUAAAGCGCGCGUAGGUGGUUUGGUAAGCGAGAUGUGAAAGCCCCGGGCUUAACCUGGGAACGGCAUUUCGAACUGUCAGACUA